Molecule: small nucleolar RNA, 90 nt
Filed under: Trypanosoma cruzi
Lineage: Eukaryota; Euglenozoa; Kinetoplastea; Trypanosomatida; Trypanosomatidae
Description: C/D small nucleolar RNA (snoRNA), TB10C1C3
Source: RNAcentral
GUGAUGACCAUUUACUUCGCAUCGCGACACACCGACAACCGUCAUGAGUGAGCAGCGAAUGAAAAAGAAUAUCGAGAAAGAACAUCUGAG